RNAcentral lists this ribosomal RNA (417 nucleotides) under uncultured bacterium. Its description in RNAcentral is "bacterial SSU rRNA". It matches the Rfam family "Bacterial small subunit ribosomal RNA", at positions 917 to 1333 of the family's 1533-position model. The record is from RNAcentral.
GGGCCCGCACAAGCGGUGGAUUAUGUGGAUUAAUUCGAUGCAACGCGAAAAACCUUACCUGGCCUUGACAUGUACCGAAUUUAGCAGAGAUGCUUUAGUGCUCGUAAGAGAACGGUAACACAGGUGCUGCAUGGCUGUCGUCAGCUCGUGUCGUGAGAUGUUGGGUUAAGUCCCGCAACGAGCGCAACCCUUGCCAUUAAUUGCCAUCAUUUAGUUGGGCACUUUAAUGGGACUGCCGGUGACAAACCGGAGGAAGGUGGGGAUGACGUCAAGUCCUCAUGGCCCUUAUGGCCAGGGCUUCACACGUAAUACAAUGGAUGGUACAGAGGGACGCCAACCCGCGAGGGGGAGCCAAUCCCAGAAAGCCAUUCGUAGUCCGGAUUGUUGUCUGCAACUCGACUCCAUGAAGUCGGAAUC